RNAcentral lists this ribosomal RNA (468 nucleotides) under uncultured bacterium. RNAcentral's name for it is "partial 16S ribosomal RNA". It matches the Rfam family "Bacterial small subunit ribosomal RNA", at positions 28 to 507 of the family's 1533-position model. The record is from RNAcentral.
GACGAACGCUGGCGGCGUGCUUAACACAUGCAAGUCGAACGGAAAGGCCCUGCUUUUGUGGGGUGCUCGAGUGGCGAACGGGUGAGUAACACGUGAGUAACCUGCCCUUGACUUUGGGAUAACUUCAGGAAACUGGGGCUAAUACCGGAUAGGAGCUCCUGCUGCAUGGUGGGGGUUGGAAAGUUUCGGCGGUUGGGGAUGGACUCGCGGGUUAUCAGCUUGUUGGUGGGGUAGUGGCUUACCAAGGCAUUGACGGGUAGCCGGCCUGAGAGGGUGACCGGCCACAUUGGGACUGGGAAACGGCCCAGUAUCCUACGGGGGGCAGCAGUGGGAGAUAUUGCACAAUGGGCGGAAGCCUGAUGCAGCAGCGCCGCGUGCGGGAUGACGGCCUUCGGGUUGUAAACCGCUUUCGCCUGUGACGAAGCGUGAGUGACGGUAAUGGAUAAAUAAGCACCGGCUAACUACGUG